UGGGGAAUAUUGGACAAUGGGCGAAAGCCUGAUCCAGCCAUGCCGCGUGUGUGAAGAAGGUCUUCGGAUUGUAAAGCACUUUAAGUUGGGAGGAAGGGCAGUAAAUUAAUACUUUGCUGUUUUGACGUUACCGACAGAAUAAGCACCGGCUAACUCUGUGCCAGCAGCCGCGGUAAUACAGAGGGUGCAAGCGUUAAUCGGAAUUACUGGGCGUAAAGCGCGCGUAGGUGGUUCGUUAAGUUGGAUGUGAAAUCCCCGGGCUCAACCUGGGAACUGCAUUC
RNAcentral lists this ribosomal RNA (281 nucleotides) under uncultured bacterium. RNAcentral's name for it is "partial 16S ribosomal RNA". It matches the Rfam family "Bacterial small subunit ribosomal RNA", at positions 355 to 628 of the family's 1533-position model. The record is from RNAcentral.